AACGAACGCUGGCGGCAGGCCUAACACAUGCAAGUCGAGCGAGGACUUCGGUUCUAGCGGCGGACGGGUGAGUAACGCGUGGGAAUGUGCCCUUCUCUACGGAAUAGCCCUGGGAAACUGGGAGUAAUACCGUAUACGCCCUAUUGGGGAAAGAUUUAUCGGAGAAGGAUCAGCCCGCGUUGGAUUAGGUAGUUGGUGGGGUAAUGGCCUACCAAGCCGACGAUCCAUAGCUGGUUUGAGAGGAUGAUCAGCCACACUGGGACUGAGACACGGCCCAGAAUCCUACGGGAGGCAGCAGUGGGGAAUCUUAGACAAUGGGGGCAACCCUGAUCUAGCCAUGCCGCGUGAGUGAUGAAGGCCUUAGGGUUGUAAAGCUCUUUCAGCUGGGAAGAUAAUGACGGUACCAGCAGAAGAAGCCCCGGCUAACUCCGUG
This 433-nucleotide ribosomal RNA is filed under the name uncultured bacterium. RNAcentral's name for it is "partial 16S ribosomal RNA". It matches the Rfam family "Bacterial small subunit ribosomal RNA", at positions 29 to 507 of the family's 1533-position model. The record is from RNAcentral.